Molecule: non-coding RNA, 3622 nt
Organism: Leptonychotes weddellii (Weddell seal)
Lineage: Eukaryota; Metazoa; Chordata; Mammalia; Carnivora; Phocidae
Source: RefSeq, a predicted model, not a curated record
AGAUGAGGCUACGAAUUCUUAAUGCUUUUAGCAUCUUGGAUUCUUUCAAUCUUUCUGCUUUUAUCCCAGUGCAUGACUGUCUGCCUCAUAACCAUGAUACCAGCUGUACCUUCUGUCUUCCUGGCAAAAUUCUACAAAUUCCAACUUGCUUGGCUUAAAAGUAUAUCCCUACUACAUCAUUAGAAUAAGACUUGGGAUAAAUGUUCCCCUGGAGCCAAGAACUGUGUUUGAAGUUUCCAUGGACGUAUUGGCAGAACCAGGACCCAGAGUGGAAAGCCCAGGAAAGGAGAUGGGGAUAGUGAGGUAUGAUCAAAGCCUUGGAGGCCACUUCAUUCAUGUCUCACAUGCCACGAGCCAGUGGUUCUCAGUCGUGUGCAUCACAAUCCCCAGGAAUCCAUGCUCAAACACAGAUGGCUUAACUCCUGGAGUUUCUGUUUCAGAAGGCCUCGGCUGCACCCAGAAUCUGCUUUUCUGACAAGUCACAAGGUGAUGAAUGGUGUUUACAGAGAGAAGAUAUAACUGAUGCUGAUGGUCUUGGGAGUGCCUUUCCACACAUCUAGGGAGGAUCACUGAAACUCUAAUGGAGGGCGAGGGAAGGAGCCUCUCAUCUCAGUUAGACCAUUCAGUUGCCCUGCUGGGUCCUCCUGGGGCACAACCAUGCUAGGGAACUUUGGGUGUACCAAAACCCCAGGAUCUUGUCAAAGGCAGAUUCUGAUUCAGAAGGCAUGGGAUGGAAUCAGAGAUGCUGUAUUCUAACAAGGUUGUAGGUGAGAAUGCUAGUCUGGGGAUCACAUGUUGAGGGACAAGGCUGCAGUCACCUUGGUUGGCAGAUUCCCUCCUCUUCCUCAGCCUGCAUCACAGCAGGGCCACCCUGUUUCCAACCCUAGCUGUCCCCCACUCUGCUAGAGGCAGCAAUGCCCAAAUAUUCUGGGGUAGGCUGUCCAUAUCUUUGUCAAUUCUACUGAGCCUACGGACUAACUUAUUUGAGUGACAUUCUCAACUGCUUAGAAAGCUACUGGGCCAGAAAUGGAAAUGGCAGCAAACACUUUCUUGAGAAUUAGGAAGCCAAAUACUUUUUUUUUAAUCAUUAUUUUCCCCAGAUUCAGAGAUUGCUUAAUUCUCAACAAAAUAACAACUUUUAGAUUGCAAGAUAAAAUAUGAAAAUGUUGGCCAAGCUCAAGGCCACAGGAAAAGAGCAGAAAGUGUACACACUGUGAGAAAAUAGAGUUACAGAGUGUCUCUGUGGCAUAUUUCAAGUUCUGGAUUUACUCUAUUUUUCAGCUGUGUGCAUUUAUCUGCUUUCCAUAGAACCAGCUGGAGAUUUAAAUUUGCAUCAUGAAUAAUGCUGCCAGAAUUCUCCCUUGCAUCUGUUGGCUCCGAGGUUCUUCAGUGGCCAGCUGGUCACCAGAAGUGAUCAUAAAAGUACAACCAGUUCCAAGGAAAAGCAUUUUUCUCUAUUGCCUGUGGAGUGAGACAAGUAGGCAUCCCAUGACUCCCCUUUCUGGAGAACACUUUAAGGGACUCUGGAGAGCAGGAUCUUGCUAAAUGUCCCAAAAGUUCCUUCCAAAGGAGAAGAGACCCCAAAGAGGAAUCUAUGACAGUGCUUCUCUGGAAUCUGGCUUCAGAAUGAUUCUCAGUCUGGAAAGUAUUCCCAGUGAUUUGGGUGUGGACUGAAUGCUUCCCUGUCUCUCCAUGGGUGGGCUGGCUCUCAAUGCAGGGCCUGCCUUCUCAAGCUCAAGAUGUUCCCAGUCCAAUCACCUGAGGUUGUCAAACCAUCUUGCAGGACGGCAGCCACCAAAGAUCUGCAGCAGCUAGUCUGCAACCCUGAUUGACCAGAUGUUGAUGGAAACAAGCCAUCUACCUGCACCAGCAUCUGUGAGUUACUGAAAGAACUCAGGUCUAUAUUAUUCAAUAACCUGACUAGACAAUGGGGGAGGGGUGGUUCAAAUAUCGAUUAUUCGCAUCACUAAAUUUGGGGAAGAUUUGUUACCUAGCAGGUAGAUAGCCAAUUGUGUUGGACACCCCCAUGCUCACUCAUGCUACAACAACAGCGUUGAAUAGUUACAACAGAGACCAAAGGGCCAGCAAAGCCUGAAGCAUUUACUACCUGACCUUUUGAAGAGAAAGUUUGCCCUCCUCCUGCAUCCACAGAAUUCCUCCCAUACGUAGGUCCUAACUGGUGCUCUGAUUGUCUCCCCUUCCACAACUCAAACCAAGAAGCCACAAGAUGUAACAACUAAAUAGUAAAUUGGUAAUUAUAUUGCUGUUGAGUUGGGACCGGGCUCUACUACAAGGUCUGAUUGAAUCCCUGUGAUAAAAAUCUGUUCACUUGUGAAAUGUGUGUUUGGGGAAACAUGUGCACUGAGCUCUGGGGUGCAGAAACCCAAGUUCUUCCUUAGUCCACAAGGGCGGCUCUCCCGUGAUCCUGAUGAAGACACCCACAUUAAAUGCUUCAAAAGCAGUGAGCUAAGAGUGACUCAAAAUACAUUCUAUUUUGCAUGAAACAUCAAAAAAUAGGUGGCAUAUUAUUAACCAAAUUACUUUCAAAGUCACUAGCUUUCAAUUGCCAAAAAAUAAUUUUACCUUCUUUAUAAAGAAUCAGAAACUGUUAGUUAUGAAAUACAUGUUGGCUGUCAAAAAUAUGGAGGACAGUGAAAAUCAUUUGCUAUGCUUCAACACAGAUAAUUUUAUUAAUAUAUACAUUAUUAGCUAUACGUUAUAUGAUAUGUAGGAUUUUUUUUCUAAAUCAGAUAGAUCAUCUAUUUCCACAGUUUUCCAUCCAAUGGAUGUAUCAGUUAUAAUUCGUUAACUAUCCUACAUAUGCUAACUAAAUAUUCAGGUAUCUAAUUCUCAAAAAAGAUUAUGUGCAGUUAGUUUUAUGACAGAUAAAUGUUUUUGUUGCUGGAUUUCUUACAUUUGAUACAUUUAAAGUAUAUAUUAAAAUACAAUUUUGUUACAUAGCAUUAACAAAAAUAUGUCCUCUUUUCUGAUUUUCCUAGCUAAGUAAGGUAUGUUCUCUACACAUGCUUCACUUGUAAGCCUCUCAUCCUGCAUGCAGUUGAGCCAAGAACUUAUCCCACAGUAAAUGUUUGCCAGACGUCAAAGCAUAUUUGAAGUUUUUCAAAUAACAUUUUUGGAUUUCUUGGCUCUCUCGUGAGGAGUGUCUUCAAGGACAGAGCAUUCCUUUCAAAUAUGUAUUGUGUUUUCAAUAAAAACAAAAUAUGCUAUGAAUAAAUAUUACAUAAAAAAAUAAAGGGAGAGUCUAAAAUAGCAUAAAUACACCUUGACAAAACAUAGUUCCAGAGGCUUCUAUCUGACUAACCAAGGUAGUUCUGUAUUCUUUUAAGUCAGUAGUUUGUAAUUCAGGGGUUCCAUGAACUUAAUGGAAAAAAAAAAUACAUCCUUAUUUUCACUAAUCUCUACCUGGAACUUAGCAUAUCCUAGCAUUAUUGAAAAAGAAAUAUCAACACUGAAAUCACAGAUAGUUCACACCACACUGUAGAUAUUACAGAUCUCUCAACAGCUUGUUUGCAUCAAUUACCACUUUGAGAUUCUGGUAUUUAAGUGAUGCACCACCAGGUGUUGUGAUUUUAAAUACCCAUAAAGAGGCUUUUAUAUUUGA